GGAGUGGGCCGGAUGGCCGCGCGAACACUUCGCGAAUGGAUUUCAUAUCUGUUUGGAAUGGUCGUGAGGAAAGUCCGGACUCCACAGGGCAGGAUGCCAGCUAACGGCUGGGCGGGGCGACCCGACGGAAAGUGCCACAGAAAAGAAAACUCCGAUCCUGCCGUAGGGCAGGAUCGGAAAAGCUGAAACGGUGUGGUAAGAGCGCACCAGCGUCUGGGCAACCGGGCGGCUUGGCAAACCCCAUCCGGAGCAAAGGCGAAUAGGAGCGCUUUCGGUUGGCCCGACCGGCGCUCGGGUUGCCUGCUUGAGGGUCGUGGCGACACGGCUCCCAGAUAAAUGGUCAUCUCGGCCCCCGGUGCGCCUUGUGCGACGUGGGCUAUGACAGAAUCCGGCUUACAGGCCCACUCCAGAC
RNAcentral lists this RNase P RNA (412 nucleotides) under Coriobacteriales bacterium. Its description in RNAcentral is "RNase P RNA component class A". It matches the Rfam family "Bacterial RNase P class A". From Rfam's summary of the family: Ribonuclease P (RNase P) is a ubiquitous endoribonuclease, found in archaea, bacteria and eukarya as well as chloroplasts and mitochondria. Its best characterised activity is the generation of mature 5'-ends of tRNAs by cleaving the 5'-leader elements of precursor-tRNAs. The record is from RNAcentral. Lineage: Bacteria; Bacillati; Actinomycetota; Coriobacteriia; Coriobacteriales.